RNAcentral lists this ribosomal RNA (489 nucleotides) under uncultured bacterium. RNAcentral describes it as "bacterial SSU rRNA". It matches the Rfam family "Bacterial small subunit ribosomal RNA", at positions 26 to 507 of the family's 1533-position model. The record is from RNAcentral.
AGGAUGAACGCUGGCGGCGUGCCUAAUACAUGCAAGUCGAACGAAGAUCUAGCUUGCUAGAUCUUAGUGGCGAACGGGUGAGUAAUACAUAAAUAAUCUGCCCAUUGGACUGGGAUAACUAUUGGAAACGAUAGCUAAUACCGGAUAGGUGAUUUGAAGGCAUCUUCGAAUCAUUAAAGUAGGGUCACUACACCAAUGGAUGAGUUUAUGGCGCAUUAGUUAGUUGGCGGGGUAACGGCCCACCAAGACGAUGAUGCGUAGCCGACCUGAGAGGGUGACCGGCCACACUGGGACUGAGACACGGCCCAGACUCCUACGGGAGGCAGCAGUAGGGAAUUUUCGGCAAUGGGCGCAAGCCUGACCGAGCAACGCCGCGUGAGUGAUUAAGGCCUUCGGGUUGUAAAGCUCUGUUGUAAGGGAAGAACAUUCAGGAUAGGAAAUGAUCUUGAACUGACGGUACCUUACCAGAAAGCCACGGCUAACUACGUG